UACGGAGGGUGCGAGCGUUGUCCGGAAUCAUUGGGCGUAAAGGGCGCGUAGGCGGUACUUCAAGUCAGGCGUGAAAGCCCCGGGCUCAACCUGGGAACCGCGCUUGAGACUGGAGAACUAGAGUUCGGGAGAGGGUGGUGGAAUUCCCAGUGUAGAGGUGAAAUUCGUAGAUAUUGGGAAGAACACCGAUGGCGAAGGCAGCCAUCUGGACCGACACUGACGCUGAGGCGCGAAAGCGUGGGGAGCAAACAGG
RNAcentral lists this ribosomal RNA (253 nucleotides) under uncultured bacterium. Its description in RNAcentral is "partial 16S ribosomal RNA". It matches the Rfam family "Bacterial small subunit ribosomal RNA", at positions 524 to 776 of the family's 1533-position model. The record is from RNAcentral.